CACUUAGGCCCUCAUGGGUCAAAGAAAAUCCAAGACUCACCUGGAGAAAAGAGUGGAUCAUAGAGGCAGAAGAAUUCACAAAAGGCGGGGGGGACCAAUAAUUCUCCAACACUUUCUGACUGGUAGCACCAGGACCCUGGAAGAAUCCCAAGCCUGUUGAAAAUAUGCUGCUGAACAGGAAAAGCAAAGGAGUUAUUGGCACUGCCCACUCAGAAAAGAGCAGAAGCAUUGCAGAACGUGCUUCCAAUCUCCAGCCUUUAAGUGGUCCAGAAGAAUAUUAUGGUGAAUGGUACUGAAUGUCACAGAGAUCUAACAGCACUAGGAAGAAUGUGUUCCCACCAUCCAGGACCUGAC
Non-coding RNA from Python bivittatus (Burmese python), 354 nucleotides. The record is from RefSeq and is a predicted model, not a curated record. NCBI's taxonomy places the organism in Eukaryota, Metazoa, Chordata, Lepidosauria, Squamata, Pythonidae.